RNAcentral lists this ribosomal RNA (465 nucleotides) under Vreelandella stevensii. RNAcentral describes it as "partial 16S ribosomal RNA". It matches the Rfam family "Bacterial small subunit ribosomal RNA", at positions 338 to 795 of the family's 1533-position model. Lineage: Bacteria; Pseudomonadati; Pseudomonadota; Gammaproteobacteria; Oceanospirillales; Halomonadaceae. The record is from RNAcentral.
CCUACGGGUGGCUGCAGUGGGGAAUAUUGGACAAUGGGCGAAAGCCUGAUCCAGCCAUGCCGCGUGUGUGAAGAAGGCCUUCGGGUUGUAAAGCACUUUCAGUGGGGAAGAAAGCCUUGGGGCUAAUACCCUCGAGGAAGGACAUCACCCACAGAAGAAGCACCGGCUAACUCCGUGCCAGCAGCCGCGGUAAUACGGAGGGUGCGAGCGUUAAUCGGAAUUACUGGGCGUAAAGCGCGCGUAGGCGGUCUGAUAAGCCGGUUGUGAAAGCCCCGGGCUCAACCUGGGAACGGCAUCCGGAACUGUCAGGCUAGAGUGCAGGAGAGGAAGGUAGAAUUCCCUGUGUAGCGGGGAAAUGCGUAGAGAUCGGGAGGAAUACCAGUGGCGAAGGCGGCCUUCUGGACUGACACUGACGCUGAGGUGCGAAAGCGUGGGUAGCAAACAGGAUUAGAUACCCGUGUAGUC